UACGGAGGAUGCAAGCGUUAUCCGGAAUUAUUGGGCGUAAAGCGUCCGCAGGUGGCACUUCAAGUCUGUCGUCAAAGACCGGGGCUCAACCCUGGAAAGGCGAUGGAAACUGAAAGGCUAGAGAGGGGUAGGGGUAGAGGGAAUUCCCAGUGUAGCGGUGAAAUGCGUAGAGAUUGGGAAGAACAUCGGUGGCGAAAGCGCUCUACUGGACCUCAUCUGACACUCAGGGACGAAAGCUAGGGGAGCGAAUGGG
RNAcentral lists this ribosomal RNA (253 nucleotides) under uncultured bacterium. RNAcentral's name for it is "partial 16S ribosomal RNA". It matches the Rfam family "Bacterial small subunit ribosomal RNA", at positions 524 to 776 of the family's 1533-position model. The record is from RNAcentral.